CUCCGUUUGAUCCCGUCGGACCCGACUGCUAUCAGAGUGGGACUAAGCCAUGCGAGUCAACAUAGCAAUAUGUGGCAUACGGCUCAGUAACACGUAGUCAACAUGCCCAGGGGACGUGGAUAACCUCGGGAAACUGAGGAUAAACCGCGAUAGGUCAUCACUUCUGGAAUGGGUAAUGACUUAAAUCUAUAUGGCCCCUGGAUUGGACUGCGGCCGAUCAGGCUGUUGGUGAGGUAAUGGCCCACCAAACCUGUAACCGGUACGGGCUCUGAGAGGAGGAGCCCGGAGAUGGGCACUGAGACAAGGGCCCAGGCCCUAUGGGGCGCAGCAGGCGCGAAACCUCUGCAAUAGGCGAAAGCUUGACAGGGUUACUCUGAGUGAUUUCCGUUAAGGAGAUCUUUUGGCACCUCUAAAAAUGGUGCAGAAUAAGGGGUGGGCAAGUCUGGUGUCAGCCGCCGCGGUAAUACCAGCACCCCGAGUGGUCGGGACGUUUAUUGGGCCUAAAGCAUCCGUAGCCGGUUCUACAAGUCUUCCGUUAAAUCCACCUGCUUAACAGAUGGGCUGCGGAAGAUACUAUAGAGCUAGGAGGCGGGAGAGGCAAGCGGUACUCGAUGGGUAGGGGUAAAAUCCGUUGAUCCAUUGAAGACCACCAGUGGCGAAGGCGGCUUGCCAGAACGCGCUCGACGGUGAGGGAUGAAAGCUGGGGGAGCAAACCGGAUUAGAUACCCGGGUAGUCCCAGCUGUAAACGAUGCAGACUCGGUGAUGAGUUGGCUUAUUGCUAACUCAGUGCCGCAGGGAAGCCGUUAAGUUUGCAGCCUGGGGAGUACGGUCGCAAGACUGAAACUUAAAGGAAUUGGCGGGGGAGCA
This 868-nucleotide ribosomal RNA is filed under the name uncultured archaeon. RNAcentral's name for it is "bacterial SSU rRNA". It matches the Rfam family "Archaeal small subunit ribosomal RNA", at positions 1 to 878 of the family's 1478-position model. The record is from RNAcentral.